GACGAACGCUGGCGGCGUGCUUAACACAUGCAAGUCGAACGGAAAGGCCCUGCUUUUGUGGGGUGCUCGAGUGGCGAACGGGUGAGUAACACGUGAGUAACCUGCCCUUGACUUUGGGAUAACUUCAGGAAACUGGGGCUAAUACCGGAUAGGAGAUCCUGCUGCAUGGAGGGGGGUGGAAAGUUUCGGCGGUUGGGGAUGGACUCGCGGUUUAUCAGCUUGUUGGUGGGGGAGUGGCUUACCAAGGCUUUGGCGGGUAGCCGGCCUGGGAGGGUGACCGGCCACAUGGGGCCUGCGAUACGGCCCAGACUCCAACGGGAGGCAGCAGGGGGGAAUAUUGCACAAUGGGCGGAAGCCUGAUGCAGCAACGCCGCGUGCGGGAUGACGGCCUUCGGGUUGUAAACCGCUUUCGCCUGUGACGAAGCUUGAGUGACGGUAAUGGGUAAAGAAGCACCGGCUAACUACGUG
Molecule: ribosomal RNA, 468 nt
Filed under: uncultured bacterium
Lineage: Bacteria
Description: partial 16S ribosomal RNA
Rfam family: Bacterial small subunit ribosomal RNA
Source: RNAcentral